Molecule: ribosomal RNA, 492 nt
Filed under: uncultured bacterium
Lineage: Bacteria
Description: partial 16S ribosomal RNA
Rfam family: Bacterial small subunit ribosomal RNA
Source: RNAcentral
AGUGAACGCUGGCGGUAGGCCUAACACAUGCAAGUCGAACGGCAGCACAGUAAGAGCUUGCUCUUACGGGUGGCGAGUGGCGGACGGGUGAGGAAUACAUCGGAAUCUACUUUUUCGUGGGGGAUAACGUAGGGAAACUUACGCUAAUACCGCAUACGACCUACGGGUGAAAGCAGGGGAUCUUCGGACCUUGCGCGAUUGAAUGAGCCGAUGUCGGAUUGGCUAGUUGGCGGGGUAAAGGCCCACCAAGGCGACGAUCCGUAGCUGGUCUGAGAGGAUGAUCAGCCACACUGGAACUGAGACACGGUCCAGACUCCUACGGGAGGCAGCAGUGGGGAGUAUUGGACAAUGGGCGCAAGCCUGAUCCAGCCAUACCGCGUGGGUGAAGAAGGCCUUCGGGUUGUAAAGCCCUUUUGUUGGGAAAGAAAAGCAGCAGGUUAAUACCCCGCUGUUCUGACGGUACCCAAAGAAUAAGCACCGGCUAACUUCGUG